UACGAAGGGGGCUAGCGUUGUUCGGAUUCAUUGGGCGUAAAGGGUGCGUAGGUGGCAUGGUAAGUCGGAUGUGAAAUCCCGGGGCUCAACCCCGGAACUGCAUUCGAUACUGCUGCGCUAGAGUACUGGAGGGGAGAUUGGAAUUUACGGUGUAGCAGUGAAAUGCGUAGAUAUCGUAAGGAAGACCAGUGGCGAAGGCGGAUCUCUGGACAGUUACUGACACUGAGGCACGAAGGCCAGGGGAGCAAACGGG
Molecule: ribosomal RNA, 253 nt
Filed under: uncultured bacterium
Lineage: Bacteria
Description: partial 16S ribosomal RNA
Rfam family: Bacterial small subunit ribosomal RNA
Source: RNAcentral